ACAUGCAAGUCGAGGGGUAACAUUGGUGCUUGCACCAGAUGACGACCGGCGCACGGGUGCGUAACGCGUAUACAAUCUGCCUUGUACUGGGGGAUAGCCUUUAGAAAUGAAGAUUAAGACCCCAUAGUAUUAUAGAUUCGCAUGAUGAAAUAAUUAAAGGUUACGGUACAAGAUGAGUAUGCGUCCUAUUAGCUAGAUGGAGUGGUAACGGCACCCCAUGGCGACGAUAGGUAGGGGCCCUGAGAGGGGGAUCCCCCACACUGGUACUGAGACACGGACCAGACUCCUACGGGAGGCAGCAGUGAGGAAUAUUGGACAAUGGGGGCAACCCUGAUCCAGCCAUGCCGCGUGCAGGAAGACUGCCCUAUGGGUUGUAAACUGCUUUUAUACGGGAAGAAACACCGCUACGUGUAGCGGCUUGACGGUACCGUAAGAAUAAGGAUCGGCUAACUCCGUGCCAGCAGCCGCGGUAAUACGGAGGAUCCAAGCGUUAUCCGGAAUCAUUGGGUUUAAAGGGUCCGUAGGUGGGCUGGUCAGUCAGAGGUGAAAUCCCACGGCUCAACCGUGGAACUGCCUUUGAUACUGCUAGUCUUGAGUUAUUAUGAAGUAGUUAGAAUAUGUAGUGUAGCGGUGAAAUGCAUAGAUAUUACAUAGAAUACCAAUUGCGAAGGCAGAUUACUAAUAAUAUACUGACACUGAUGGACGAAAGCGUAGGUAGCGAACGGGAUUAGAUACCCCGGUAGUCUACGCCGUAAACGAUGGAUACUAGCUGUCCGGCUUCGGCUGGGGUGGCUAAGCGAAAGUGAUAAGUAUCCCACCUGGGGAGUACGUUUCGCAAGAAUGAAACUCAAAGGAAUUGACGGGGGCCCCGCACAAGCGGUGGAGCAUGUGGUUUAAUUCGAUGAUACGCGAGGGACCCUUACCAGGGGCUUAAAUGUAAGUUGCAUUAGCUGG
This 954-nucleotide ribosomal RNA is filed under the name uncultured bacterium. RNAcentral's name for it is "bacterial SSU rRNA". It matches the Rfam family "Bacterial small subunit ribosomal RNA", at positions 53 to 1003 of the family's 1533-position model. The record is from RNAcentral.